UAUCAACCUAGAAAGCAGAAGUAGAAGAAACAACCUACGGGUUCUGGGUCUCGAAGAAUUAAUCAAAGGCCACGAACUUAUCAAUCACCCCUGCUGUGGCCCACUUCUGGAGGUCCAAGACGCCGAUUUCUACAAAGAAGGGAUCCGUAUGCUCCUCAACUACUGGACUAAAGUGUGUAAAGGUCCAGGAAAGCCCUUCAAGGAAAUUGAGAAGAUCCGAAAUUAAUUCUUAACGCAAACCAAGGAGUCCUCAAUAUAGUACAACUUCCAGAGGCACAUACAGAACUGCUUGCAUGAGAACACUUCAGAUCUUAGAGUAGAUAAUAGGACAUUUGUUCAAGGGGAGGGAAAGUGUUAAAACAUAGAGUACAGAACAUAGAGCAGUUGAGCGUGGGACAGGCCAUUUAGCCCCUGAUGUUGUGCCGAUUUUGAUGCCAAUUUAUACUAAAUGUCUUCUUCUAAUGCAUUAUCCAUAUCCUCCCAUUCCCUUUAUAAUUAUGUCUCUAUGUAUCUAUGUUAAAGUCUACCUGCUUCCACUACUACCCCUGUAACCCAUUCAGGACACCUAUCAUCCUUUAAAAAUGUACCCCUCACUUGUACCCCUUUAAAUGUACCCCUUUAAACUUCCCACAACUAACCUCAAAAUAUGUCAUCUGGUGCUUGACACUCCUACCCUAGGGAAAAGAUUCUGACCAUCUAUCCUAUCUAUGUUUCUCAUAAAGGUAAAGAAAGCAGUUGGUUUCAUAGAGUAAAUACUUUCUCCUCCUUGAAGUUGAGACAGAUCACUUUAAAAUAUCAAAGGUCACAAGUUAUCCCUAAAAAAGCAUUUAACUCAGUAGUCAAAGUGGCAACUGUGGAGUCGGGGUGGGGGGGGGGAAGUAAUUAUUGACAUUUCAGGUCAUUUUUUGUAUUGCUCCAGAUUUCAGUAUUUGCACUCUUUUGUAUUUCCAAGGUAUUUUCAUGUUUGACAUACAAACUGCAUAAAUUCUAUUUAGCAAAUGCUGUAAAGAGAGAGACACACAGAGGCAUAUCGAGGAAGGGAAUUCAAAAGUAUACAGUCCAGACAACAAAAUACCUCAACUACCAGUUGGAGGAGUGAUGGAUAUCAAGCACCUUCUCGAGGGCUGUGGGGUGGAGUUGUUGGAGCUGAUAUAACAUUAAACGUUCUUCAAAAUUAAUUCAUUAACGUUGAUGUUUUUAUAAAAAGGCAAGGAUUUCUUUGUUUUCAUGGGCCUCCUUCAGCCCCUGGAGACACCAGAGGUUUGUGCCCUGAUGCAGGGUUUCCACCUGAAAUGUCGACAAUUCCUUCCCUCCCACAGAUUCUGCUCAGUCCAUUGAGCUCCUCCAGCAGAUUAUGUGCUUAUCUUUCGACCCCUAUUCAUUGAACUGCAUCACCAUUUAUAUCAAUUUGUCUAUCCUGAGGGAAAUGGGCAAAGCCUCCUUUAAUUUCACACCCCUGAUUGCCCUGGUGAUGAUGACUGUGAACUGGCUUUAUGAAGCAAUGCAGUGUGUGCUAAAGGAAGAUCCCAUAGAGACCUCCCUGUGCAGAGCUGCAGCACCUAGAUACAGUGACUACAAGACAGAGCAUCAUCCCCUUAUUGUAAAUGUAAACUGUAUUCAGUUACAGAUGGAGUCAUGUCCAUUACUAACAUCAGUAAAAUGACACCUGCCGCUCAAUAUUAUUCAAUGGAUUUUCAAUGAUUUUGAGUCAGUGCAUUACUUACAUGAACCUUACGAACAAUUAUUAGAGAGUAUAAAAAUACUCUGUAAGUUUUAUACACAACAGUAUUUGAAGACAUAUUUAAAGAAAUACCACUUCUUCUUGGAUGAAAAUAAAAAAUGCAAAUGCUGGAAAUCUGAAAUAAAAACAGAAAAUGUUUGAAGCAGGCAGCAUCUGUUGAAAGAGAAAUAGUUAAUGCUAUGUCUCUGACCUGAAGUCAUCUUUUUGUAUCUUUCCACAAAUACUAACUGAUCUGAUGGGUGUUUUGAGUAUUUUCUGUUUUAAUUCCCCUUGCCUGAGCAGUUAGAUUAUCUUUCCUGGAUCUGUGAUUUGUCCACAGUAAAUAUUGCUAGGGACAGACAAUGACUGGUGGCCUUGCCAAUGCAUCAUAGAGUCUCUCAGUAUGGAAACAGGCCCUUCAACCCAACUUAUCCAUAUCAUCUGUGUAUCCCAGUGGGCUAGUCCCAUUUGCCCAUAUUUGGCCUAUAUCCCUCUAAACCUCAUCAAUCCAUCCAUCACCCCUUUGCAUGAAGAAUCUACCCGAUAUCCCCUUUAAAUCUCUGAUCUUAAAACUACACCCUCUUGUUUUGAGCACUCCCCCCACCCCAAUGAAAUAAAAACUAUCUGCUUUCAUCCUGACUUUGCCUUUCAUGAUCUUAUCAGGUCACCUGUCAGUCUCCUGUGUUCCAGGAAAUGACAAACAGAUCCUGAGAAGUGAAUUUGAAAAAACAUUUAGACUGUUCUUUGAUAGUAAUAUUGCAUCUAUUGAUGCAGAGUAGCCACAGAGCAUGGCCCAGCUCUAUCCAACAUAAUUGCUUAACUCUGGCUGAGAGGAUGUGUACUGUGAAGCACAAGCCAGUAUUAGUGGGUGGAAUGAAUGUCCUCAUAAGAUUAAGGAUUUAACUCAACGGGUCAGGUAGCAUCUAUGGAAAGAAAUGGACAGCCAAUGUUUUGUGCAAAGACUGUCAAUGUUUCAAGUUGAGAGCUUCAUUUUGACUGAGUCUGAGACCCGAAACAUUGACUAUCCAGUUCCCCCAUAGAUACUGGUCAACCCUCAGAGAUCCCUCAACACCUUGUGUGUUGCUCCAGAUUCUAGCAUCUGUAGAGUCUCGGGCCUCGUGUUGUACUGGCAAAGUAACUGAUUAAAUAGAACAAGCCUACAAUGUUCAGCCAUGGACAAGGAGAUAAUUGUCUGCAGUGAUGGAGCUUAUGUUAGACAGGUUAGAAAAUCUGACAAAGAUCAGAAGAGCAACACACACAAAAUGCUGAAGGAACAAUGUAUGUGGAAAGCAGGAGGCUUUGUAACUAUCAGAUUUUUCAAUAAGUUCCUUUCCAAUUAAGGCCUCAUAGGCAACACACACAAAAUGCUGGAGGAACUCAGGGGUCUGGCAGAUUCUGUGGAAAAGAAUACAGGUGACGUUUCGGGCCAAAACCUUCUCCAGUCCUGUUGAAGAGUCUCAGCCCGAAAUGUCGACUGUACUCUUUUCCUAGAUGCAGCCUGGCUUGCUGAGUUCCUCCAGCAUUUUGUGUAUGUUGCUUCGAUUUCCAUAUAACCAUAUAACAAUUACAGCACAGAAUCAGACCAUCUCGGCGCUUCUAGUCCGUGCCGAACUCUUACUCUCAUCUAGUCCCACUGACCUGCACUCAGCCCAUAACCUUCCAUUCCUUUCCUGUCCAUAUAGCUGUCCAAUUUAACUUUAAAUGACAACAUCGAACCUGCCUCAACCACUUCUGCUGGAAGCUCGCUCCACACAGCUACCACUCUUUGAGUAAAGAAGUUCCCCCUCAUGUUACCCCUAAACUUUUGCCCCUUAACUCUCAACUCACGUCUCUUGUUUGAAUCUCCCCCACUCUCAAUGGAAAAAGCCUAUCCACAUCAACUCUAUCCCCCUCAUAAUUUUAAAUACCUGUAUCAAGUCCCCCCUCAACCUUCUACAUUCCAGAGAAUAAAGACUCAACUUGUUCAACCUUUCUCUGUAACUCAGGUGAUGAAACCCAGGUAACAUUCUAGUAAAUCUUCUCUGUACUCUCUCUAUUUUGUUGACAUCUUUCCUAUAAUUCGGUGACCAAAACUGUACGCAAUACUCCAAACUUGGCCUCACCAAUGCCUUGUACAAUUUCAACAUUACAUCCCAACUCCUAUACUCAAUUAAAAGUUGCUGGUGAACGCAGCAGGCCA
Long non-coding RNA from Mobula hypostoma (lesser devil ray), 3899 nucleotides. RefSeq lists it as uncharacterized. The transcript has 3 exons. The record is from RefSeq and is a predicted model, not a curated record. NCBI's taxonomy places the organism in Eukaryota, Metazoa, Chordata, Chondrichthyes, Myliobatiformes, Myliobatidae.